Molecule: non-coding RNA, 2515 nt
Organism: Taeniopygia guttata (zebra finch)
Lineage: Eukaryota; Metazoa; Chordata; Aves; Passeriformes; Estrildidae
Source: RefSeq, a predicted model, not a curated record
GCGGCCCCCGGGAGCGGCCCCCGGGAGCGGCACCGCCGCGGGGCUCCCGGGCGGCGCAGGAUGGCCCCGGGCUGGGGCACGGCUCGGUGACCGCUCCGGGCACGGGGCAUCAAACCUCAGCGUCUGAGGGCUGGACUCCUCGGCAGUGCUCUCCUCCUCCUCACACGGGCCGGGUGGGAGCCUGGAUGCACAGGGAACAAAAGUGCCCUGAGCUCACAGACACUUUCACCUUGAGGAUCCCAUAAGAAAACAAUUCUGGGGAUGGAGAGGUAAGAACACAUCUCAGGAGGUCCUGCUGUUCUCAGACCUGUCCCCUCAGACAGUCCCACAGAGAGAAACAUCAAAGCAGGAAGCAAGUUUCAUCCUGCAGAGGGAAGCACCUGUGCCAGAGGCGUGCUCGGGAAUGAUCAGACUGUUACAGGAGCUGCUUCUAUAGCCCCUAAAGAAGUCACCAGGAGCUUCCUCUGUUCAUGCUGUGGGGUGGAGACUUUUCCCAUGCUGCCCAGUUACACGGACAGGAAUGAGAGUAAACAAACACUACAUCAACAUGCCGGUGACAGACUCCAUGGAAAAAGGACCAGCAUGAAGGAAAAGCUUUAAAACAGUGGAACACAAAAGGAAACAGAGGAUGAAUCGCCUCGGCCUCACCAUGCAGUCUACCUCCAAGCAUUCUUAAUUGACAUCUUCCCUGCUACAGUUUAAAUGGAUUACACUUUGAUCUAUCCACCUUCAAGAACUGCACAAUAAUUGAGUUGAACACAAAGCACAAUAAUUUCCUCUUUUCUUCCCAUAAAUGUUUGCAUAUUUGUUGAAGUUUGUUACACCUUCUUAGUUACUUUCUCUGGGUUAAAUUACACCACUCAAUCUUCCCAAGUAGAUUAUGUUUUCUAGACCACUGGCUGUUUUUGUUCUUAUCCUUUGGACAGUUUCUUAUUGAUCAGCUAUUUCUGGGGAUUAGUCUCUUGUUCUGCUGUCACAACAAGCCAAAUAAGGUAACAGUUGGUCGUGGAAAUGAGUUAUGUUGAUGAAAGAGAGAGGUUUGAUGCUCACUGGAAUUGGUGGAGGCUCGCAGGAAAGUUAAUACCAGUUUGGUCCAACAGAUCCAUUUUUUCAAAGAUGGGGUUUUAAUUCUGUAUCAAUACUUUCUGUCAAGACCCCAACAUAUGCUCACCAUGAAGUACAUGAGUAAUGCAUUAAAGUUAAUGAAACACAAUAUGUAGAUUCAAACUUAUGCCUUCAUUUUACAGAAACAGGAACUGCCUACAACAUACCUACAAAACAUCCCCAAAAUACUGCUUAAUAUUUCCAAUAUUUUAGUAUUAAUUUUUGUCCUAGUUCUACUUAUACAUUAAUAAAAUUAAAUUAUAUUCCCUUUUGAUAUCUUCUCUUUUUAAAUUACAUGACACCUAAUCCUCAUUUAUACCAGGACUGCUUUUGGCUUGCUCUUAAUAAUAGCAUGUAAAUUAGAUACAAUAAAACAUACUCCCACCUAAACAUUCCUCUGCUCUCUCAUAGUGAUGUAACAUAGCAUUAGUGUAAAUGAAUCAUGGACCUCAACUUUGUAGUUCCAUUUGGAUUUUUUAAGCUUGAGGUCUUAGCAUGAUGCAAAAGCAGGUACAGUUGUAUUUCCAGUAAGCUGUUAUUAUAUUCAUAAUGCUGUAACAUACAUUUUCAAAAAAUAGUAAUGUAGGUUUUUCAGUGCAUAAUUUGGUGGCUUUGGGAAUAUUUGAAGAGGGAAUGUGAUGGACCUGGAUUCUGAAAUAUACCUUAAUCCUACUUGCUAAUUAUUGUUGGGCCAUCUGGAGUGCUCUGCAGUCACUUUAUGAGAGUUCUCUCUUGACCCAUCCCGCACUUUCCAUCAGCUCAGUAUGGACACAGCAUUAUUCUGUUUUCUCAUGCUGUGAGGGGUUAGGUGAGGCAAAGACUCACACACCAGAGUCUUAUCCUAUCUCCUAAAUCUUCUUUUGUCCACCUGAAGUCUCCUAAUUGUAACAGUGAAGAACAUAAUGGGAAGAGUAUUGACUUGCUUAAUUUCAAACAGGCUAUGUGAAUUAUCUUUACAAUAACUACAUGUUUCAAUAAUUUAUAACUAUGAUGCUAUACCUGACAAAAUGAUUCACAUAACUAGAGCAAUGUGCACUUUAAGUUUAAAGUCAAGGUCUUCCUUGCUCAUUUUAAUGACUUCUCUUGUGCACGAGAUAUUAAUAUUCCUGUGAGCAAACAUAACACUGACUCAUUAAUCAAUAGGGGCUGGCUCCUCUACAUAAUAACAAUAGCCGUACUAGAUAAUUAACUUUUGUUCCAUUUGCUUUAGUUUGUACAUAAUUUCCAGUGGCUGACACUGGAUAAUAAAAAGCUUUCCAGAUGACAGACACCUUUUAAAAUCCUUUUUACUAGUUUUGGAGAAUGAUCCACACCUACUGAUAUAAGUAAAAUACAAUGUAGGUAUCUGUGUGUGUCCAUGCCAUACUUAAAAGGAGGCAACUGACAAUAAAUAAAAGAUCUAAUAAAUAUU